GGGGGCGUAAAGGUUUCGACGGGGACUUUGAGCCAUGGUAAGCGGGUAGAGGUGCGGCACCUCUUUAAACAGCGGCAAUUCUUAAAUAUAAACGCUAAUAACGAUUUAGCUCUGGCUGCCUAAGUUGCGGCCCGUUCCCCGGGAGAGUAUCGCGGCUCCCGGCUGAGCGUCAUUUAGCGAUGAACGUGCGUUGAAACUUUUCGGUUGCAUCGACCACGCAUAAAACCGAUACCUGCGGAGCAGCCUGACAGCCGGCGGCUCCAAGGGGAAGCUUAGUAGACUGCCUGCACCCGGAGAAAGCUGUGUCAAGAGGUUUUCGGACAGGGGUUCGACUCCCCUCGCCUCCACCA
RNAcentral lists this transfer-messenger RNA (350 nucleotides) under Eubacteriales. RNAcentral describes it as "RGIG1743 sp017399105 Standard tmRNA". It matches the Rfam family "transfer-messenger RNA". From Rfam's summary of the family: Bacterial tmRNA, also known as 10Sa RNA or SsrA, is named for its dual tRNA and mRNA-like properties. Its role is to liberate the mRNA from a stalled ribosome. RNAcentral also lists the same sequence under 1 other name. Lineage: Bacteria; Bacillati; Bacillota; Clostridia. The record is from RNAcentral.